AGCGCCUUUGGGUGCGGGGCCGGGGACGGCGCGGGUCGGCGCAGGACAGACACGGGGACGUGGGGACGCGGGGAAGGGAAACGCGUUGCGCGCUCCAUGCGGGGCGCUGCCCAUUGUCCGACGGCUUUUAUCUUUUAUAUUUCCCAUGAAUGAUUCAUGCCGCGGUGGCUUUGUGUCGCGCUCCUUUCACCAGAAACUUCAUUAGGAGCGCUAAGUUUUCCCAUUGACGGGAGCCUCAUUUGGGAGCGCUCUUCUGCUCCUCGCGUCGGUCGUCGGGGCCGCUCCCCGCAACCUGCUGCACCGUGCGGCCGUCCGCGGCGUUCUGACCGCUCGUCCUCGAGCAGCGACGCAUUCGAUGGGGAGGGAAAAGAACAGAAAAAAGAGGAAUAGAAAUAAUAACAAAAUCCUGGGCUCGCUGCGUUCGUUUCUUGUAUUAAAAUAUAAAGAUUAAAAAAAAAAAAAAAAAAAAAAAGGAAAGGAAAAAAAGUCUCUCCCUUCGGCCCCGCGUAGCACUGAGCCGCGGACGGCGCCGAGGCUGCGGGAGGGCACGGCCGGGAAGAUGUGGAUUUAUUCGGACCGUCGCUAUUUAUGACGAUGCUUAUCGUUCUCGUUACCAUCCCCGUCGAAAUCUUCACGUUGAGUGUACCGCUGUGACGCCGCGAUUUUGCUGUUCCGGGGGAUAACGGAGGAGAAUCGGUGCCGGACCUCCCCCCGUGUUACCCACGCAGCCCGGGUCGCCCGCGGGGUCCCUCGUGGGAGCGGGACACGGAGCCGCGGGGGGGGGGGAGGGCAGAGUGGGGGUGGGGGUACGGCCGGGGAGGAAAAGCAUUGCCCCUCUGAGCCCCCCCGCCGCUCCUCUGCCCACCUGCAGAGCCGCACCUCGGGCUGUCAGCGAGCCGUGCGUGACGCGUGGGAACGCGCCGCUCGGUCACCGCGCGGGGACCUUUCCUGCCUUUCAUUUCUCGUAAUGGGGCUUACGGAGAGAGGUUCUCGUUUUGGUUUUGUUAUUUUUUUUGUUGUUGUUAAUUGCCGUUCUUUUCUUCGGGAGGUGCCGGUGGCACGGAGCGGGGGCAGGGCCGUGACCCUCCGCUCAGCGGCGGGGAGAUGCGCAGACACCGAGAGCUCCGUUUGCAAACAGCUCGGGGGGGUCGACAGAGGAAAGGUCCGCGCCCCACCUCGCCGGCUGCUAUUGGCUCAAGCGGGCUUUGAAACAAAUGGUUCUCGAAAAUAAUCCUAAUUAUUAUAUAUAUAUAUAUAAAAGCGGGGUUAAAAAAAAAAGAAAGAAAGAAAGAAAGCAAACGGUAUCAAUUGAGCAAAACCGGUUUUCUCUUCCGCUUUUCCGUUUGUCUUAAAGCGACGCCCGCUCCUUUCAGCCCAGCGCGGCGCAGCAGCGCGGAGCCGACGCGGAGGUCGCGGAGCACCGCGCUCUGUCCCGGCGGUGCCAACACCGCAC
Molecule: long non-coding RNA, 1453 nt
Filed under: Gallus gallus (chicken)
Lineage: Eukaryota; Metazoa; Chordata; Aves; Galliformes; Phasianidae
Description: lncRNA (ENSGALG00010006115.1)
Source: RNAcentral